Molecule: ribosomal RNA, 253 nt
Filed under: uncultured bacterium
Lineage: Bacteria
Description: partial 16S ribosomal RNA
Rfam family: Bacterial small subunit ribosomal RNA
Source: RNAcentral
UACGGGGGGGGCAAGCGUUGUUCGGAAUCAUUGGGCGUAAAGAGCGCGUAGGCGGCCCUGUAAGUCCGCUGUGAAAGUCAAAGGCUCAACCUUUGAAAGCCGAUGGAUACUGUGUGGCUAGAGUACGGAAGAGGCGAGUGGAAUUCCUGGUGUAGCGGUGGAAUGCGCAGAUAUCAGGAGGAACACCAAUAGCGAAGGCAGCUCGCUGGGACGUUACUGACACUGAGGCGCGAAAGCGUGGGGAGCGAACAGG